GUUUAAUUUUUUUAGGAUACACUUGAUCUUAUUUCAUCUUCACCAUUACCUUGUGAAUUGAUGUUUUUCCCAUUUUCAGAUGAGAAGAGCUGAGGAACUAGCUGUAGCCUCUUGGCAAAGAGCUGGGGCUCUUGCUUGGGCACUAUUUCAGGGCUGCCUCCUCCUGACCUCAGCAUCACCGCAGUACUGCAAAGCAGCUGGGUCAUUUAAGAAAAAUAGCCUGCCUCAAACAAGGGUUUGCUGGAUCCAUGAAUAAAUGGACUGUUUAACCUGGAGGGACAGAGAAAGGAGAGGAUGAAGGCAAGACCACGCUCUUUACUUGGAAGAAGAGCCAGAUGUACGUUCAAAUACAGACUCCAAGUCGAUAAAUGCCUACAGAGUUAUGAGAUCGUGUUGAAAUGAAGUGUUUUGAGUGGCUGCUGUAUCAAUGCCUUCCCUCCAUCUAAUUAGCAUCAGAUGUCUUCAAGACCUGCCUGGAGAUUCACAUCUGAAAGGUAUGAGAGAAAAAGACUGUUCCCAGAUGUCAAUGAAAGAACCUUACUGCUAUGUUAAUACCUAACAUAGCAGCAACUCCCCAACUCCCACCCCUAGAGUAGACCCUUAGACUGCAUCUUUCACUGAAAGAGACACAGCUCAUCUUUGAAUCACUGGAGGCUCUGCCAACCAGACUCCAAGCAGGGGACUGUGGAACCCUCUAGAUUGGUUGUUUAUAAGGAAGAGAAGUUGCCAGUUAAGAGCUUCUUCCUGGCCCACAGCACUCUGCUGACAAGACCUCCAAAGCUUCCUUCUAUAUAUUCAAGCACACCAGCAAUGUCUCCCCCGAGAUGUUUUGGAGCAUCCCAGGAUGAAGGAAUCUGUAGUUGGCAGCUGGGCCUGGAUUGGGCAGUGCCUGCAGGAAGGAGAAAAGAUCACCUCUAGAAUCAGGCAACUUAAAGGUUCUUCAACUCCCAGUGGCUCCCAGAUUUUGCUCCAGGUUAAAAUUUUCUUGGGAGCUUUGAAGAGUCCCAGUGGCCACAUCAUAGCAUGUGGCAGACACACCUGAGGUAAUAAAGAAGAUGAACGGUUUAAUACUUUCUUGCAUGAGUUCACUACAGAGAGUUCUUUAGAGGGAUGCUGCCUGUUGAUGAAAAGGAAGAUCUCUGCUUCCACAGGGAGCAGGCACCCAGCGAGGCGCAGAGGAUGUGAGACACCGUCAUUGGUGUGGAGAAUAUAUGUGCUUUGUAAAGUUUGCCUGACAGUUGAUUUUCUUUCUUUCUUUCUUUUUUUUAACUGAUUUUACUGAUAAAAUUAGAGUUGUAUUUCUAAAAGGAACAGGAAGCCACAAAGACAAGGACACAUAACAAAUCUCUGACCAACUUAUGCCAGUAAGGCUCAAAGUCAGCCAUAAAAAUGAAUAAGGUUCAUGAGCUUACUGAAAAGUAAUGUACAGAGCCACUGGUUUCUGUCUCUGCACCCCUUGGAGUAAAAUGGGGGUCACACACUAGUGGGGGCCUCCAUGAUCAUGCUCCAAUUUCCCUUAGAGGCACAUGUUUCUAUAGGAACAUUAAAUUGUGAAUGCCGUGAUAAAUCUGAAGAAAUAUUAAGAGUCUUGGAUUUUCAUUUUCAUAUUUUAUGCACCUAGGCAUAAGAGUCAUUUUCACUUGUUUCCCUCUUACCAUUAGAAGUUAAUGUUAUUAAAGAGUUCAGUUGCGUCUGUUCCC
Molecule: long non-coding RNA, 1700 nt
Organism: Bubalus bubalis (water buffalo)
Lineage: Eukaryota; Metazoa; Chordata; Mammalia; Artiodactyla; Bovidae
Exons: 3
Source: RefSeq, a predicted model, not a curated record